Molecule: long non-coding RNA, 480 nt
Organism: Mytilus trossulus (common blue mussel)
Lineage: Eukaryota; Metazoa; Mollusca; Bivalvia; Mytilida; Mytilidae
Exons: 5
Source: RefSeq, a predicted model, not a curated record
UUGAAAGACUGUAUUGAACACCAUGGAACCUAUUUUCCAGAAGAUUUUCGAACUGUUUGUGCUGAUGUUGGAUCCCCCAGUUGGACAAACAUUUUUAGAGAAAAUCAUUCAUUUUUCUACAAUAUACGUUCACAUAACGAUUUACUCAGUAAUAGAAUUCCUCUAAAAUGUGCCUCAGUAAAAGUACGACACUCUGAUGGUUUGCAGAUUAUAAAAGAUACACAUUAUGUAGAAUGUAACAUAAGAUUACCAUAUUUCUUAUGCGCAACAGAUUCCCAACAUCUAGUUGUUAAUUUUUCACAGUAUAUAACAUCUACAAUUGCAAACCAGUACACUAUUAAUACAAACAACAGUAUAACAGCGACAAAUGAAAAAGAUGUCAAAAACAAAAGCCAAUCGGGUAAGAUCAUUGGGGGAGUUGUAGGCGGAAUAAUUGUCCUGGUUGGAAUCUGCAUUAUACUGCUUAUUUAUAUAAAAAGG